Molecule: ribosomal RNA, 253 nt
Filed under: uncultured bacterium
Lineage: Bacteria
Description: partial 16S ribosomal RNA
Rfam family: Bacterial small subunit ribosomal RNA
Source: RNAcentral
UACAGAGGGUGGCAAGCGUUGUCCGGAAUUAUUGGGCGUAAAGCGCGCGCAGGCGGCUAUGUAAGUCUGGUGUUAAAGCCCGGGGCUCAACCCCGGUUCGCAUUGGAAACUGCGUAGCUUGAGUGCAGAAGAGGAAAGCGGUAUUCCACGUGUAGCGGUGAAAUGCGUAGGGAUGUGGAGGAACACCAGUGGCGAAGGCGGCUUUCUGGUCUGUAACUGACGCUGAGGCGCGAAAGCGUGGGGAGCAAACAGG